AGUAUAAUUGCUGGAUCAUAUGGUAAGAGUAUUUUUAGUUUUGUAAGAAACUAGCAAGCUGUCUUCCAAAGGGGCUGCAACUUUUUGCGUCUCCAUCAGCAAU
Molecule: microRNA precursor, 103 nt
Filed under: Marmota monax (woodchuck)
Lineage: Eukaryota; Metazoa; Chordata; Mammalia; Rodentia; Sciuridae
Source: RNAcentral